This 140-nucleotide transfer RNA is filed under the name Candidatus Micrarchaeum sp. AZ1. It matches the Rfam family "tRNA". Rfam says of the family: Transfer RNA (tRNA) molecules are approximately 80 nucleotides in length. Their secondary structure includes four short double-helical elements and three loops (D, anti-codon, and T loops). Further hydrogen bonds mediate the characteristic L-shaped molecular structure. tRNAs have two regions of fundamental functional importance: the anti-codon, which is responsible for specific mRNA codon recognition, and the 3' end, to which the tRNAs corresponding amino acid is attached (by aminoacyl-tRNA synthetases). tRNAs cope with the degeneracy of the genetic code in two manners: having more than one tRNA (with a specific anti-codon) for a particular amino acid; and 'wobble' base-pairing, i.e. permitting non-standard base-pairing at the 3rd anti-codon position. Lineage: Archaea; Nanobdellati; Microcaldota; Candidatus Micrarchaeia; Candidatus Micrarchaeales; Candidatus Micrarchaeaceae. The record is from Rfam by way of RNAcentral.
GGGGUUGUGGCGUAACUUGGCAGCGCAGCAGGCUCCAGAUGUUUAACUUGAAAUGAGCCCAAAAGGCAAUGAUGAUGAUCUGGAAAGCAGACUAAAUAUGAAGUAACCUGCUGGUCCGGGUUCAAAUCCCGGCAACCCCA